UUACGUUGUUAUCCCUAAGGUAAUUUAAUCUUAUAAUCAAAAUAAAUGGAUCAAAAAUAUAUACAUAAAUAUAUAAAAAUAAAGGGGAGUUAAACAAUAUUCCUCCCAUCACCCCAACAAAACAAUUCACUCCCACUCAAUGUAAAUAAAACAAACAACGAACAAAUAGGAAAAUUGUCAAACUCUAUAGGGUCUUCUCGUCCCAUAAAAACAUUUAAGAAUUUUAACUCAAAAACCAAAUUCAAUAAAUCAAUACNUCUAAGACAGCUUAUGUCUCGUCAAGCCAUUCAUACCAGAUCACAAUUAAAGAACUAAUGAUUAUGCUACCUUUGCACGGUCAAAAUACCGCGGCCCUUCAACUCCAAGUCAGUGGGCAGGCCAUACUUCAAAAACUAACAAGAAAAGAUGUUUUUGAUAAACAGGCG
This 425-nucleotide ribosomal RNA is filed under the name Nasutitermes ephratae. RNAcentral describes it as "partial 16S ribosomal RNA". Lineage: Eukaryota; Metazoa; Arthropoda; Insecta; Blattodea; Termitidae. The record is from RNAcentral.